Molecule: unclassified non-coding RNA, 550 nt
Filed under: Hevea brasiliensis (rubber tree)
Lineage: Eukaryota; Viridiplantae; Streptophyta; Magnoliopsida; Malpighiales; Euphorbiaceae
Source: RNAcentral
AAUGCUUCCAGCUUGGGUGGAGCAAUUGUGCAUUGAGCAGGAGCAGAUGGUGGCUUAAAGCAACAGAAGCCCCCAGUUGGCUCCUAAUUUAACAUUUUAACUAGUUUAUUUUUUCUAUUUUUUUAAUAUUUAUUAGUUUCAACUUCUAUCUAGCGGCAAGAAAUUGAAGAAAGAAAAGAAAAAAAGAAGAAAAAGGGCAAAGGUCCAAGGGGAGAAAACAAAGAAGCUGGGCAGAAUGAAGGACAUCUGCUCAUGGCGAUACGCUUUUUCUAGUUAAUUUGGUUCUGUUGUAACUAGAGUUAAUAUAUUCUUCUGAAGCAUAUUCUUGUGCUGAUGAGAGAAGGGCUAGAUGGUGCAGAGUACCUUAUUUCCGGGUGGCCUAUUCUUUGGUUUAUUUUUACUUAUUGUAGGUUUGUAUACAUCUCAUUGUACUAUAAAGCUGUUACGUUAAUUACUGAAUUCAAUAUGUUUCAAAUUUCAGUAUAUCAACAUUUCUCUGUUAUGCUUAUGCAAGCAUUUGCUAAAAAUGCUUUCACAUUGACAUCACCAC